Molecule: ribosomal RNA, 876 nt
Filed under: uncultured archaeon
Lineage: Archaea
Description: bacterial SSU rRNA
Rfam family: Archaeal small subunit ribosomal RNA
Source: RNAcentral
UUUCCGGUUGAUCCCGCCGGAGGUCACUGCUAUCGGUGUUCGACUAAGCCAUGCGAGUCAAAUGUUCUUCGUGAACAUGGCGUACUGCUCAGUAACACGUGGAUAACCUGCCCUUAGGACUGGCAUAACCCCGGGAAACUGGGGAUAAUUCCGGAUAGUUCAUGGUAGCUGGAAUGCUCCAUGAUCGAAAGCUAUUGCGCCUAAGGAUGGGUCUGCGGUCUAUCAGGUAGUAGUGGGUGUAAUGUACCUACUAGCCGACGACGGAUACGGGUUGUGGGAGCAAGAGCCCGGAGAUGGAUUCUGAGACAUGAAUCCAGGCCCUACGGGGCGCAGCAGGCGCGAAAACUUUACAAUGCGGGAAACCGCGAUAAGGGGACACCGAGUGCCAGCAUCUUAUGUUGGCUGUCCGCAUGUAUAAAUCACAUGUGUUAGCAAGGGCCGGGCAAGACCGGUGCCAGCCGCCGCGGUAACACCGGCGGCCCGAGUGGUGGCCACUAUUAUUGGGUCUAAAGGGUCCGUAGCCGGUUUGGUCAGUCUUCCGGGAAAUCUGACGGCUUAACCGUUAGGCUUUCGGGGGAUACUACCAGGCUUGGGACCGGGAGAGGUAAGAGGUACUACGGGGGUAGGAGUGAAAUCUUGUAAUCCUCGUGGGACCACCAGUGGCGAAGGCGUCUUACCAGAACGGGUCCGACGGUGAGGGACGAAAGCUGGGGGCACGAACCGGAUUAGAUACCCGGGUAGUCCCAGCCGUAAACUAUGCUCGCUAGGUGUCAGGGACGGUGCGACCGUUUCUGGUGCCGCAGGGAAGCCGUGAAGCGAGCCACCUGGGAAGUACGGUCGCAAGGCUGAAACUUAAAGGAAUUGGCGGGGGAGCAC